This 484-nucleotide ribosomal RNA is filed under the name uncultured bacterium. Its description in RNAcentral is "partial 16S ribosomal RNA". It matches the Rfam family "Bacterial small subunit ribosomal RNA", at positions 28 to 523 of the family's 1533-position model. The record is from RNAcentral.
GAUGAACGCUGGCGGCGUGCUUAACACAUGCAAGUCGAACGAUGAAGCCGGAGCUUGCUCUGGUGAAUUAGUGGCGAACGGGUGAGUAACACGUGAGUAACCUGCCCUUGACUCUGGGAUAACUGCUAGAAAUGGUAGCUAAUACCGGAUACGACCCUCGGAGGCAUCUUCAGGGGGUGGAAAGAAUUUCGGUCAAGGAUGGACUCGCGGCCUAUGAGCGAGUUGGUGAGGUAAUGGCUCACCAAGGCGACGGCGGGUAGCCGGCCUGCGAGGGUGACCGGCCACCCGGGGACUGCGACACGGCGCGGACUCCUACGUGGAGCAUCAGUGGGGAAUCUGGCACAAUGGGCGCGAGCCUGAGGCUGCAACGCCGCGUUAGGGAUGUCGGCCCUCGGGUUGUAAACCUCUUUUAGUAGGGAAGAAGCGAAAGUGACGGUACCUGCAGAAAAAGCACCGGCUAACUACGUGCCAGCCGCCGCAGUAA